Molecule: ribosomal RNA, 802 nt
Filed under: uncultured bacterium
Lineage: Bacteria
Description: bacterial SSU rRNA
Rfam family: Bacterial small subunit ribosomal RNA
Source: RNAcentral
UGGCGGCAGGCUUAACACAUGCAAGUCGAGCGCCCCGCAAGGGGAGCGGCAGACGGGUGAGUAACGCGUGGGAAUCUACCCAUCUCUACGGAAUAACCCAGGGAAACUUGGACUAAUACCGUAUACGUCCUUCGGGAGAAAGAUUUAUCGGAGAUGGAUGAGCCCGCGUUGGAUUAGCUAGUUGGUGGGGUAAAGGCCUACCAAGGCGACGAUCCAUAGCUGGUCUGAGAGGAUGAUCAGCCACACUGGGACUGAGACACGGCCCAGACUCCUACGGGAGGCAGCAGUGGGGAAUAUUGGACAAUGGGCGAAAGCCUGAUCCAGCCAUGCCGCGUGAGUGAUGAAGGCCCUAGGGUUGUAAAGCUCUUUCAACGGUGAAGAUAAUGACGGUAACCGUAGAAGAAGCCCCGGCUAACUUCGUGCCAGCAGCCGCGGUAAUACGAAGGGGGCUAGCGUUGCUCGGAAUCACUGGGCGUAAAGCGCACGUAGGCGGCUUUUUAAGUCAGGGGUGAAAUCCCGGAGCUCAACUCCGGAACUGCCUUUGAUACUGAGGAGCUCGAGUCCGGGAGAGGUGAGUGGAACUGCGAGUGUAGAGGUGAAAUUCGUAGAUAUUCGCAAGAACACCAGUGGCGAAUGCGGCUCACUGUCCCGGUACUGACGCUGAGAUACGAAAGCGUGGGGAGCAAACAUGAUUAGAUACCCUGGUAGUCACGCCGUAAACGAUGGGAUGCUAGCCGUCGGAAGUUUACUUGUCGGUGGCGCAGCUUACGCAUAAGCCUCCCGCCUUGGGAGUACGAUCGCA